CCUACGGGCGGCAGCAGUGGGGAAUAUUGGACAAUGGGCGAAAGCCUGAUCCAGCCAUGCCGCGUGUGUGAAGAAGGCCUUCGGGUUGUAAAGCACUUUCAGUGGGGAAGAAAGCCUUGGGGCUAAUACCCUCGAGGAAGGACAUCACCCACAGAAGAAGCACCGGCUAACUCCGUGCCAGCAGCCGCGGUAAUACGGAGGGUGCGAGCGUUAAUCGGAAUUACUGGGAGUAAAGCGCGCGUAGGCGGUCUGAUAAGCCGGUUGUGAAAGCCCCGGGCUCAACCUGGGACGGCAUCCGGGACUGUCAGGCUAGAGUGCAGGAGAGGAAGGUAGAAUUCCCGGUGUAGCGGUGAAAUGCGUAGAGAUCGGGAGGAAUACCAGUGGCGAAGGCGGCCUUCUGGACUGACACUGACGCUGAGGUGCGAAAGCGUGGGUAGCAAACAGGAUUAGAUACCCCAGUAGUC
Molecule: ribosomal RNA, 464 nt
Filed under: Vreelandella stevensii
Lineage: Bacteria; Pseudomonadati; Pseudomonadota; Gammaproteobacteria; Oceanospirillales; Halomonadaceae
Description: partial 16S ribosomal RNA
Rfam family: Bacterial small subunit ribosomal RNA
Source: RNAcentral